RNAcentral lists this ribosomal RNA (433 nucleotides) under uncultured bacterium. RNAcentral describes it as "partial 16S ribosomal RNA". It matches the Rfam family "Bacterial small subunit ribosomal RNA", at positions 29 to 507 of the family's 1533-position model. The record is from RNAcentral.
AACGAACGCUGGCGGCAGGCCUAACACAUGCAAGUCGAGCGAGGACUUCGGUUCUAGCGGCGGACGGGGGAGUAACGCGGGGGAAUGUGCCCUUCUCUACGGAAUAGCCCUGGGAAACUGGGAGUAAUACCGUAUACGCCCUAUUGGGGAAAGAUUUAUCGGAGAAGGAUCAGCCCGCGUUGGAUUAGGUAGUUGGUGGGGUAAUGGCCUACCAAGCCGACGAUCCAUAGCUGGUUUGAGAGGAGGAUCAGCCACACUGGGACUGAGACACGGCCCAGACUCCUACGGGAGGCAGCAGUGGGGAAUCUUAGACGAUGGAGGCAACCCUGAUCUAGCCAUGCCGCGUGAGUGAUGAAGGCCUUAGGGUUGUAAAGCUCUUUCAGCUGGGAAGAUAAUGACGGUACCAGCAGAAGAAGCCCCGGCUAACUCCGUG